UUAUAAUUGUUGUUGUGUA
This 19-nucleotide small RNA is filed under the name Arabidopsis thaliana (thale cress). RNAcentral's name for it is "ATSL049950". Lineage: Eukaryota; Viridiplantae; Streptophyta; Magnoliopsida; Brassicales; Brassicaceae. The record is from RNAcentral.